This 7616-nucleotide long non-coding RNA is filed under the name Manihot esculenta (cassava). RNAcentral describes it as "long non-coding RNA (MESC_LNC003964)". Lineage: Eukaryota; Viridiplantae; Streptophyta; Magnoliopsida; Malpighiales; Euphorbiaceae. The record is from RNAcentral.
GCCAAGUUGAAUUCAAGACGGGCUAAAUGAGGAAAAUAUUUUGAGAUUUAAGUAACUUAGCACUUUGGCCCGCAAUUGGACGGCCCAUGCCCGCGCCUCAAACCCAGCCCGCUCGUGCACAUGACCAGCACUUCCAAGCUCCUCACGUGGGCCCGCGCCGUCUCCAAACUGCCCAAGCACCAAACACAUGCACAUGGGCCCCGCCAAAUCCACUCCACCAUUUCACUUCAUGUGGAACAUGGCCCGCUUCAUCAUUCUCUCACGCAAACCAAACUCUUCACAUGGACCGCGCCUCAGCCCAAGCGCUUCACGCCAAGGGGCCCGCCGAAGCACUCCCUCACAUGGACCAAGGCCAUUUCCUCACGUGGACCACAGAUCGCGCGCUCCAGGCUCCGCACGUCCACUCGCCCGUUCCAGCACAUCACCGCACCUGAUCCACUCACGCACAUGACCGCGAGCAAUUUUCCUGAAUAGGGCACCGCUCCUCUGCACCUAUUUAAAGCUCUUCAGUGGACGAUACAAGGACAAUUCAAUUCCAAUCUCUCCUGUUCGGCGAUUUCCGCAGCCCGGCGCAAGAAUUUCUUCGGUUUUAUUUUUCUUUUCCCUUUUAUUUAUUUUUAGUUUUUAAUUCAGUCAUUGAGUGGCUGAUUUCUUUCAUCUAGUUGAAUAUUGGUUAAAGCUUUAGUUGUUUAAUGGGUUGUGAGACUUGAUCAAAUAUUGUUUAAUUUUGGGAAUUCAAUAUUCAUGCAAUUUCAUAUUUAAUUCUCAUAUUAUUUUGUUAUUGAAAUCUACAUUGAUUUUUGAUUGUAAAAUAAUUAUUUGUUAGUUUGAAUAAUUUAAAUCCGUAAUUGCUUGGGUUAUUCUUACAUGAGAACACUUGGGAUAAAACCCAAGAAAAUUGUUUGAUCUAGCGUUAUCUCCAUACGUUUAGGUAGUUAGGAUUGGAUCUCUCUCUUAAUGCAAUUGACAAUUGUUUUGAUGCCUAAGGCCCAAGGACGUUCCUUGGCAAUUUGUUAAUUAGUAAUUAAUUAGAGGACGUUCCCUAAUUGGUUUAAUCAUAAGGAGAGAUAAUGGUGGUGAGAAGCGUCUUCCAUCCCCAUAACUAAUCUAUUGAAUCAACCCAAAAGAACAAAGUGUCUGUGAUCAAUCCCAACGACUAAAGUGGAUCCAAUACUUCAACUAGAGCUUUCUUAUUAUUUAUUUCUCUUUUAUUUUAUUAUUCGCUUAUUUUAAUUGCUUUUAGUAGUUUGUUAAUCAAAUCAAUCUCAAACCCCCCAUUUUACUUUUACUGCAAUUUAUUUUUAUUCCUCUGUCAGUUUUAUCUCAUUUCAGUUUUAUUCCUCUUUCAGUUUAUCUCAUUUUUGGUUUAUCUCAUUAUUUCAGUUUAUUUUAUUGGUCUUGUUGAGAAAAAUAAAUAGGUAAUCAAUUCUCUGUGGAUUCGAUCCUUCACCACUAUCUACAGUUGUAAAUUGUUGAUAACCAAGAAGGUUAUUUUUGACCGGCUUCGACAACCGCGAGUCAAAAAUUGGCGCCAUUGCCGAGGAAUUGAUUUUACUUGUUUAAUUUUCUUUCAUGAUCAGAUCUGAACACAGGGACACACUGCCCUUUGAUCCAGAAAUUGAACGCACUCUUAGAAGACUUAGAAAGCAAGCCGCAGAAGCUUCAUCUGAAGCAACAGAAUUUUGCCAACAAGCCGCACCAAUGGCUGAACCUAAUCCACAACUUGUUGCCAAUAAUGGACAUGACCAAAUAAUUCAAGAAAAUCCAGCAGUUAGGCCCCAAGAACAAAGAGAAAGAACCACGAGGGAGUUAGCAACACCCAUAGGUGAUCAUGCAUCACUUUGCAUCACCUAUUCGCCUUUGACAGUUCCCUUUGAACUGAAAUCAGGUUUGAUUCAUCAUCUCCCUAAAUUUAGAGGUUUGCAAAAUGAAAAUCCACACAAACACUUGAAAGAAUUCAACAUUGUCUGUUCAUCUAUGACACCUCAAGGUGUUUCUGAAGAUCAUGUUAAGUUAAGAGCUUUCCCUUUUUCCUUAAAUGAUUUUGCUAAAGAUUGGUUAUUUUAUUUGCCACAUGGAUCUAUAACUUCAUGAGGUGAUAUGGUCCAAACCUUUUGGGACAAAUAUUUCCCACCAUCUAAAUCAAUUGGCAUAAUAAGAGAAAUCACUAGCAUAAGACAAAAACCAACUGAAGACUUAUAUGAUUAUUGGGAAAGGUUUGAAAGACUAUGUACAGGUUGUCCACAACAUGAUAUGUCAGACAGGGCACUCAUACAAUUCUUCUAUGGAGGAUUAACUCCUUCGAAAAGGAAAUUCAUUAACGUAGCCUGUGGAGGAUCCAUUGCAGACAAGACACCUAGGGAGAUGAAGGAACUAAUAUCCACUCUUGCAGCUUCAUCUAAGCAAUAUGAAGAAGAGGGGCAAACGCAAAGAGGAAUCUAUGAGGUAAGUACAUCCUCUGUUGAAUCUCAAAUUUCAAAACUAACUUCUCUUGUGGAAAAGAUCGCCCUUGGCCAAGUCCAACAAAUGCAAGCAAUUCCACCACCUAGGCCAUGUGAGAUCUGUGCUUAUGUAGGACACCCAACUGAUCAAUGUCCCACACUCCAAGAAGAUCAUCACCAAGUCAAUGCUAUUGGAGGGUACCACAACCAGCCUAGACAUGAUCCAUACUCCAAUACAUACAAUCCAGGUUGGAGAGACCAUCCCAAUUUCAGCUAUGGAAGGGCCAACAAUAGUCAGAAUUACCAAAAUCUCCAAAGAAAUCAAGCAAAACCAGCACCUUCAAAUCCAAAUCAGCACCUUGAAAAGAUGAUGGAAUCCAUGGCAAGCGCUAUACAAAGUCUCAAUCAGCGCAUGGAUCUACUGACCACAUCAAGAGGCAAUUCUGAAACUCAAGGUAAGCUCCCUUCUCAAACUGAAACUAAUCCCAGACAAAAUGUCAGUGCCAUUACUUUGAGAAGUGGAAAAGAGCUUCAAGAGGCCAAGAUUGAUGAAAGAACACCUCCUACACAAUCUGAAAGGGAGAUCUAUGCGCAAGAACCAACUGCAGAAGAGCACAUUGCGCAAAGACCCAUCCCGGAAGCCACUCCUGCGCAAACUGAAGUCCCCCCUGCGCAAAGAGCUGAUCCGAAAGUAAGUUUCCACAUUCCACCUCCUUUUCCCAAGAGAUUUGAAAGAACACAAAAAGAAAAAGAAGAAAAGGAGAUUCUUGACACUUUCAGAAAAGUGCAAAUCAAUAUACCUCUGCUAGAUGCUGUUAAGCAGAUUCCCAGGUACGCUAAAUUUCUGAAAGAACUUUGCACUAAUAGAAGGAAGCUUGCAGAAAGAGAAAAAGUAAGUGUAGGUGAGGUAGUGACUGCUGUUAUUAAAAGAGAACUCCCUACUAAAUGCAAGGACAAAGGUAUGUUUGCUAUCUCUUGCAAGAUUGGGAAUGUUGGUAUAAAGAAAGCCAUGUGUGAUCUUGGUGCAUCCAUUAAUAUCAUGCCUCUCUCCAUCUAUAAAUCUCUCAAUGCAUGUGCACUCAAAGAAACAAGAGUUGUGAUUCAACUAGCUGAUAGAUCUGUGGUAUAUCCCAUAGGUGUUCUAGAAGAUGUGUUAGUCCAAGUAAAUGAACUUGUCUUUCCUGCUGAUUUUUAUGUGAUUGAUACUAAGGAAGAUAAUUGCAAUGCUAGUUCUGAUAUACUUCUUGGACGUCCUUUCUUGAGUACUGCUAGGACUAAGAUUGAUGUGCAUGAUGGUACUCUCACUAUGGAAUUUGAAGGGGAAGUGAUUAAAUAUAAUGUCUAUGAUUCCAUGAAAUAUCCACAUGAUAUAUCCCCUGUUUAUGGUCUUGAUAUUGUUGACUGCUUAAGCUAGGAAAUUUUUAAUGAAAAUCAAGAUGAUAUUCUUAACAGUAAUUUCUGCAGAGAUACUGAUCAGGUACAGAUUGAGAGCCAGAAAGAGCCAAAACUUAAGGAAACAGUUUGUAGCAUCCAACAGAUAGUUUGCAGUCAAGCGCAGAUUGGAGAAAACUCAGUUGCACCACUUCAGAAUGGUGUGCAGACCCUUCUUGCGCAAAAAAGAGGCACUUGAAAGCCUCUUAGGCGCAUCCUUACAGCCUCCCGCGCAAAGCAGCUUCCAUCCGCCUCCCUUUCAGUCCACUCCUGCACAAGGAAAGGCACCUGAAAGCCUUUCAAGCACAUCAACUCAGUCCCAAUCUCAAAUCUCGCCCACUCUUUACCCAACGCAGACAAGCCACGCGCGAAUGGAAAAAGGUGAGCCUAGUUCAGUCAGCAAUCCAUCUAAGAAAAUCUCAGAAUCAGAUCUGAAGCCUCUUCCAGGCCAUCUGAAAUACAUGUACUUGGGAGCUGACAAGACACUUCCAGUAAUAGUGUCCAAUGAACUGAACCAACAUGAAGAAGCAAGCCUCCUGAAAGUACUACAGAAACACAAAGGAGCCAUAGGAUGGACCAUUGAUGACAUAAAAGGUAUUUCUCCUUCCACAUGCAUGCAUAGAAUUCACAUGGAAGAUGAAUGCAAGCCAGUUCGAGAUGCUCAAAGAAGACUGAACCCACCUAUGAUGGAGGUAGUAAAGAAAGAAAUAGUCAAGCUCCUUGAUGCAGGAAUCAUUUACCCAAUCUCUGAUAGCCAAUGGGUGAGUCCUGUGCAUGUAGUCCCAAAGAAAACUGGGAUCACCAUUGUUCCAAAUGCUAAAGGAGAACUUGUUCCCACUAGAGUUCAAAAUGGAUCGAGGGUGUGCAUGGACUAUAGAAAGCUCAACGCUGCAACAAGAAAAGACCACUUCCCACUGCCUUUCAUUGAUCAGAUGCUAGAAAGGCUUGCAGGUAAGUCUCACUAUUGUUAUCUUGAUGGUUAUUUAGGUUUUUAUCAGAUUCUAGUUGCUCCUGAGGACCAAGAGAAGACCACCUUCACUUGUCCUUUUGGCACUUUUGCCUUUAGAAGAAUGCCAUUUGGACUAUGCAAUGCACCUGCCACCUUUCAGCGGUGCAUGAUGAGCAUAUUUUCUGACUAUGUGGGUAAGACAAUUGAAGUAUUCAUGGAUGAUUUCACUGUGCAUGGCAACUCUUUUGAGGAAUGCCUUGCCAACUUGGAAAAGAUCUUACAAAGAUGCAUUGAGACUAACCUUGUGCUUAAUUAUGAAAAAUGCCAUUUUAUGGUUAAUCAAGGUAUGGUCUUAGGUCAUGUUGUUUCAGCUAAAGGCAUUGAAGUGGACAAAGCAAAGGUGGAUACCAUCAAAAAUCUGCCUUAUCCCACAACUGUUAAAGACAUCCGAUCAUUCCUUGGCCAUGCAGGAUUCUAUCGAAGAUUCAUCAAAGAUUUCUCGAAAAUCACUUUGCCAUUAUGCAGAUUGCUCCAACAGGAUGUAACCUUUGAUUUUGAUGCAGACUGCAAAAAGGCAUUUGACUUGAUUAAAGAAUUGCUUGUGACUGCCCCAAUUAUUCAAGGACCUGAUUGGAACCUGCCUUUUGAAAUCAUGUGUGAUGCAAGCAACUAUGCAGUAGGAGCAGUUUUGGGGCAACGUGUGGGAAACUCACCCCACGCCAUUCACUAUGCCUCUCGCACACUAGAUGCUGCACAAAACAACUACACAACAACUGAAAAAGAACUCUUGGCAGUUGUAUUUGCUUUAGAAAAAUUCAGACCCUACCUCUUGGGCACCAAAGUCAUUGUCUAUUCUGACCAUGCAGCUUUGCGAUACUUGAUAAAGAAAAAGGAAGCCAAGCCAAGACUAAUUAGGUGGAUUCUUCUCCUCCAAGAAUUUGAUCUGGAAAUAAGAGACAAAAAAGGCAAAGAAAAUCUUGUAGCUGACCACCUCAGCCGGCUUCCAUCCAAUUCUGCACCUUGUCCAGUUGAAGAGGCUUUCCCAGACGAACAUCUGUUCGUCACUCUUUCUGCCUAGAUGAUCAUGCCAUGCACACCACACCCCAGGGGAGUACUCAGUUUCAUUUGUUCUCUUCUUCUCUCUUCUUUUACAUUGAGGACAAUGCAUGAUUUAAGUGUGGGGGUGCAUAUCUCUUCUUCUCCUUCUCUUCUUCUUUCUAAAAUUAAAAAAAAUAAUAAAAAAAAAUAAAUAAAUAAAUAAAUUUUCCUUUCAGUUAUGCGAUUUAUGCUUUCUUUUAGUUUAUUUUUGCCUUCAAUAAUACACACACAACCACAACCUUCUUUUUGUUUUGCUCUACUCAAACUGAUGAACUAUGUUAGAUGAGUUUUUCUCUCCAUGACCCCAUUGAUGUUAGAACUCUUUAAACUUAUGUUGAAUCAAUUGCAGUGAGUUACAUUCAUGUUUGAGAAUUGCCUUUUGAAUUGAAUCUUUGAGUUUGCCAUGGUGAAAAAUAUAUUGAUGACCCUCAAUUGAUGAGAAUAAAUUGAAAGUUGUGUGAAUGGACUUAAUGUGACUUGAUUUAGCAAUUGGUGUUGAUUUGCCCAAAUCAUUGAGAGAAAGAAAAUUCAGCAAAGGCAAAGACCUCAAAAGCACAAAUCCAAGAUUGUUCCAAUGGUCAAAAGACUAUGAACAGAGCUACUAGCCACUUGGAAAGGUGACCAACUGAGUAACUGGGGGUGGGUAUCACAAAUAUGUACUUUCACGUCAAAAGGUUGGUGACCUCUCCAAGCAAGAUCUAAAAGUGCAAAAAGCCUGAAUAUAGUACUUCAAGCGAGGGCAAGUCACUCCAAGGGCUAGAAAAAGUCUUAACAAAUAAUGUGCAUGUAUGGUCUCUCUUGAGGAAAAUAAAUCCUAGCCAUGGUAAGCAAAGGGAAACGAGAAAAGGAGGUGAGUAAUCUUCAUGCAUAUAUUCUUCACUGCAAUAAUUCAAAAUAGGGGUCUAGAGUAAGAGCUCAAGUGGAAAUAAGGAUCUAGAGUGAGAAAGCUUGUUUCACUAAGUUUAUUUGCUUGAGGACAAGCAAAAGGCUAAGUGUGGGGGUAUUUGAUAGAGCAUAAUUUAGUCCAUUUUAUAUUAAUAUUAUUGAUGAAUAUUUACAUGAUUUUUGCUUAAUGUAGUGCUUUUAAUAUUAUUUUGCAGAAAAUGAUGUAAAAGGACAUUUUGGAGAAAAUCCCCCUAAAACUGCCUUAUUUGGAGCAAAAGAGAGCAAAGCCGCCAAGUUGAAUUCAAGACGGGCUAAAUGAGGAAAAUAUUUUGAGAUUUAAGUAACUUAGCACUUUGGCCCGCAAUUGGACGGCCCAUGCCUGCGUCUCAAACCCAGCCCGCUCGUGCACAUGACCAGCACUUCCAAGCUCCUCACGUGGGCCCGCGCCGUCUCCAAACUGCCCAAGCACCAAACACAUGCACAUGGGCCCCGCCAAAUCCACUCCACCAUUUCACUUCACGUGGAACAUGGCCCGCUUCAUCAUUCUCUCACGCAAACCAAACUCUUCACAUGGACCGCGCCUCAGCCCAAGCGCUUCACUCCAAGGGGCCCGCCGAAGCACUCCCUCACAUGGACCAAGGCCAUUUCCUCACGUGGACCACAGAUCGCGCGCUCCAGGCUCUGCACGUCCACUCGCCCGUUCCAGCACAUUACCGCACCUGAUCCACUCAUGCACAUGACCGCGAGCAAUUUUCCUGAAUAGGGCACCGCUCCUCUGCACCUAUUUAAAGGCUCUUCAGUGGACAAUACAA